RNAcentral lists this ribosomal RNA (219 nucleotides) under uncultured bacterium. Its description in RNAcentral is "partial 16S ribosomal RNA". It matches the Rfam family "Bacterial small subunit ribosomal RNA", at positions 111 to 334 of the family's 1533-position model. The record is from RNAcentral.
UAAUGUCUGGGAAACUGCCUGAUGGAGGGGGAUAACUACUGGAAACGGUAGCUAGUACCGCAUAAUGUCGCAAGACCAAAGUGGGGGACCUUCGGGCCUCAUGCCAUCAGAUGUGCCCAGAUGGGAUUAGCUAGUAGGUGGGGUAACGGCUCACCUAGGCGACGAUCCCUAGCUGGUCUGAGAGGAUGACCAGCCACAUGGAACUGAGACACGGUCCAG